AAAAAGAAUGAAAUAAUGUCUUUUGCAGCAACUGGGAUGGAACUGGAGGCUAUUAUUCUAAGUGAAGUAAUUCUGGAAUCAAAAUCUAAAUCCAACAUGUUCUCAUUUACAGGUGGUUUCUAAGCUUAUGGAUAUGCAAGGGCAUACAGAGUGGUAUAAUGUACAUUGGAGACUCAGAAGGCUGGCAAGCAGGAGAGAGGGUGAAUGCCUUCAUCCAUUGGAACCUGAACCAUGAGUAUUUCCUUCUGAGACUUUCAUCAAACUAAGUCUGCAUGAAGCCUGAGUCCUGUGGAGUCUGUGAGUUUGUGUAAUUUGUAGUGAUAGUAUCAGAGUUUACCAGAGGCCUAAUGGAUUGGAAAGUCAGAAUCAGAACAAGCAAAUCUACCCUCAUCCAGCACCAGAAUUAAAAGUUCUCAAAAUUGCGCACAUGGGAAUUAAAUUUCUCCACAUUAGAAACAGAUGCCUUCAAAUAACUGAUUUUUCCAUUGCCCCAACGUGUAAGUGCCUUUUUAUUGUGCUCAUUUUGUCAUCAGUAGAAGGACGCUUGAGUUCAGUACUUGGAAGAGUGGAAGGGUGCAGUAUUCCUUGGGCCCUGUCCCUUUACGUUUCAUGGUAUGCCAGGGAUGUCUGUGUUUACUACCUCCAACCAAUGCAAGAACAUACCUGAACAACCCAAACUCCUGACUGGGGCUAAUUGGAGUUAGUGACAGAGAAGAACACUAUUUUACAGUGUUGGGUAUUUUUGUUGUUGCUCUGGAGGUUGGGAGGGAUUAGUCUUUGUCAGGAGAUAGGAUUUAGCAGAAUAUAUCUAUUUAUAUCUUGUUUUAUCUAUUACAUCUCCAUCCUAUUGACUUCUUUCCUGAACCGGAAUUAAGCAAUGAAUGCUGUUUGGGCAUUUUUAGUGUGGCUGUUCAUUAUUACCUGGAUAAUUCAGAGUACUUCUAGGUCAUGACAUAAAAAUGCUGUUAUUUGUAUUAGCUUACAGAUACUGUUGGUCUGUCUCCAAUGUUGUUGUUUUUCAAAUUCCAGGAGUAACAGGAUGGAAGGUUGCAGAGCUCUAAGUAAUAAGUAAAGUGGCCUGGGAUACUGAACAUAGGGAGUGGUGGAGAUUGAGGCAAACUAGACAGAUAGCUAUGCCUUGUUUAAAGGGGCUGCCUGUGUUGUAUUACAUCUGGUUGUUGUCCUGUGAAAAUGCAGGCCAGAUGUGGCCAAAUCUUCCUGUUUUUCAAACCAAGUGGUAGAAAUUUGAAUUUUUACAAGCAGUCUCCCAAUUUUUAUUGUGACAACUAGUUCAGAUUACGAAAAAUAUUUAUGGGCCAAGUAAAAUACCACCUGUUUUCAGCCUCUAGUGUAGGAUAUAUGAAGCCAGCUUGUUCUUCAGGUAGCAGGUGGUGCUUACAGGUCAUCUCUACUGAGGCAUCGUUGGUGAAGUCCUCUAAGACUCAGCUCUGGGAUCCUCUGUAGUGAAUGGCUCUCAUAGUUGCAGGAAAAACCCAGGUCCAAAUGACACCCACAGUUGACCACAGUUUUACCUAAUUAAGUAAAAAACUUUUUUUAAAAAAAUAAUUUAUUUUGUUAUCCUGUUACCAGUACUUUCAAAUACUUAAGAAAAAAAUCAAUAUUAAAGUAUCAGUUUUGCAAUCCAGAGGAUAUUUGUACUUUUUCAAAAAAAUUUAAAAAUUAGAAAAAAGAUAACAUAUUGGCCUCCUGCCUUUUAAAUAUUUAAGGGAUGAAUCAGACUUUCAGAUGUGCUUAAAUUGGUACCUAGAGACCUAAUGGAGGUUUCUUAUUUUCUUCACUGGUAAGAUUUUGUCAUUCAUUCCAGUAGAUACUUUUAAGCAACCUUUUUAUUUUAGAGCAGCUUUAGAGAUAAAGUUAUGAAUAUAGUACAGCGAGUCCCCCUAUACGCCAAACCCAGUUUCCCCUUAUUAUUACCAUCUUAUAUUAAUUAAUGAGCCAGUAAUGAUGCAUUGUUAUGAACUACAGUCCAUACUUUAUUCAGAUUUCCUUAGUGUUUACCUGCUGUUCUUUUUCUAUUCUGGGACUCUAUCCAGAAUAUCACAUUGCAUUCAUUGUCAUGUCUCCCUUGGCUCCUCUUGGCUGUGACAGUUUCUCAGACUCCUCUUGCUUUUGAUGAUUUUGACAGUUUUGAGAAGUAUUCCAUAAAACAUCCCUUAGUUGGGAUCUGUCUGAUGUUUUUUUCUCAUGAUUAUGUAUUUUUGGGGAGGAAGUCUAAAGAGGUAAAGUACCAUUCUCCUCAUAUUAAGGGUGUACACUAUUGUGUCAGCAUCAUGUUUUACUGUUGAUGUGAAUCUUGAUCACCUGGCUGAGGUGGUAGUCAUCAGGUUCCUCCAUUGUAAUGGUAUUGAAGGCACUGCGUGCAGCCCAUGUGUGAGUAGGAGUCAUGCUGCACUUCUGUGAGAGGAGAGUAUCUACAUCAACUAUUCGGAAUUCUUCUGCAUAAGAGAUUGGUCUCUUCUCUGUGUAUACAUGCAUGCAUGUAUGUAUGUCAGUAUGGAUAUUUAUUUAUUUUAUACUUUGGAUUAUAAUCUAAUACUUGUUUAUUUCAUUGAUCAGACUGUUGUAGCUUUGGCCAUGGAAGCUCUUUCAGUUGGCUACUGUGUCCCUUUGAUAUACCCCCACUGUUGCAUUGUUGUUGUUUUUGAGUACUUUCUUAAUUUCUGGCACUACAAGAUGCUCAUGCACAUCUUGUAUAUUCCCUGCUCCAGUGCUAGAAUCAAUGAUUUUUUCCAAGGAGCCCUGGUUUCUUUUAUUGGAGACUGUUACUAGAAACCAAGAUCUGCUAUGCUCAUUGCUACUGGGAUGUGUUGCUUCUAGGCUCUUUCAGCUGACAGAGCAAGGAAAUAUGUUGUGUAUAAUAAUCUGUGUAUGUUCACAUAUUUAUAAAUAUUUGUAUUUGUGUCUGUCUAUAUUAAGCCAAAUAUGUGUUUAUACUGAUGACUUCAACUCUUAAUCUGUUACCACAUGGCUCAUUGGAGUUUUCUCUCAUUGCUUCUCUGUAAACUGUCAUUCAAACACUGAGAGAUCUGGCUCCCAAGAGCCACGAUCCAUUUGCAUUGUUCAACUCCAGUAUACAGUAUAAUAGUGAUUUUAGAAUUCCUAACUAAAUACCCUGUGAGAAACAGUUUUAUCCACAGAGCUUAUGCACAGUGCCUUUUGCCUUUAGUCUUACCUACUCCACUUAUUUGUAAGGAUGCUCAGGUCAGCAUCUUUCCCAUUCCAUCACUGAGUGUAUUUUAUACAUUUGCUAGAUUCUUUCACCACAGCCUGCAUUCCAUCUUGGAUUCUCCAACCUCCCAAAUGAUUUUUUACAAUUUGCAUACAUUAAGGUUAGCUCUGUAUUUUGUGGGUUUUGAAAUUUACAAUGUCAUGUAUCCCCCAUUAGAAUAUCAAAGAGAAUACUUUCAUAUCCUAAAAAUCCAAUGUGCUAUAUUUAUUCAACCCUCACCCCUUCCGAAACCCCUGGCAAUGAUUGACCUAUUUACUGUCACUGUAGUUUUGCCUUUUUCAGAAUGUCACACAAAUGUCAUAUAGUACAUAAUCUUUUCCUUGGCUCAACAUCAUAUUUAUGUAUAUGCAUAUAAGAGUUAUCUAUGUUGUUGUGUUUUUGGGGAGGGGAGGGGACAGGGUCGUGCUCUGUCACAUAGGCCCUUGUUUUUGUUUUAGUUUACUUUGGGGUGUGUGUGUGUCAGGGUUUCCCUCUGUCACCCAGGCUGGAGU
This 3741-nucleotide long non-coding RNA is filed under the name Homo sapiens (human). RNAcentral describes it as "HSALNT0358006". Lineage: Eukaryota; Metazoa; Chordata; Mammalia; Primates; Hominidae. The record is from RNAcentral.